UUUUAAUUGAAGGCUGGUAUGAAUGGUUGGAUGAGGUACAAGCUGUGUCAUAAAAAUUAAUAUUUGAAUUUAACUUUUUAGUCAAAAGGCUAAAAUUUAAUUGAAAGACGAGAAGACCCUAUAGAGCUUUAUAUAAUGAUUAUUUAAUUUAUUAAGAUUUAUUAAAUUUAAUUGUUUUAUUGUAUUUUGUUGGGGUGACAAUAAAACUUAAAAAACUUUUAUUAUUAUUUUACAUUUAUUUAUGAUUUUAUGAUCCAGUUUUAUUGAUUAUAAAUUUAAGUUACCUUAGGGAUAACAGCGUAAUUUUUUUUGAGAGUUCAUAUCGACAAAAAAGAUUGCGACC
RNAcentral lists this ribosomal RNA (343 nucleotides) under Simulium (Psilopelmia) sp. 1 FACG-2017. RNAcentral describes it as "partial 16S ribosomal RNA". Lineage: Eukaryota; Metazoa; Arthropoda; Insecta; Diptera; Simuliidae. The record is from RNAcentral.